AACUUCUUGAGAAAUACGAUAUACGAUGAUUGGCCAUCAGAUUAUAAAGUAUCAACGUAUUAUGCUGACUUAUUAUCGAAUAAAUACGUGAAAGACCAUGCCGAUGAAUUUCCUACAACUUUUUCAAGCUUGCGCGAAUCGUCAAAUAAAUAAUGAAAAAUCUGAUAGAGAUGAGAAGACAAAUAAUAGCGCAACAUACAGUAUAGAAAAUGUUUAUCUCUUAAGUAGAUUCAUUAGAAAUGUUAAAUCUUCUCGAUGAAUAUCAAUUGAAGUUAUUCAAAUCAAAAACAUUGUGUAGUAUUAUGGGAACUGUAAAUAAAGAAAUGGAAUGAGAAUGAAAAAUGAGAAAUGAUAAAUGAAA
Molecule: long non-coding RNA, 361 nt
Filed under: Polistes fuscatus (common paper wasp)
Lineage: Eukaryota; Metazoa; Arthropoda; Insecta; Hymenoptera; Vespidae
Description: uncharacterized LOC122523811
Source: RNAcentral